UUGUGGUCGCCGCUCCUGCUGGUGAUGUGGAGAAAUCAGGCGAGCUGGAGCGCUUUUUGUCUUUGUUUAUCGUCCCCGCGACGGUGUAAAUGGGGGUAAAAGAAUCGCUCCGUGUCCUCGCUGCUCCGGGCUGCUGCCCCAGGCUGGGGGUGAGGGUGCAGGUGCUGCGGGGCAGAUUUUUCCCGUGGUACCCUCUCCUGCCGCCCCUACGUCAGCUCGCGGGCUAUUAAGGGCCCCAAGCCUCCACCCCCAUCCCCACACGGGCCACACUGAGCCGGGCUGAGCGCGGGGACACUGCAGCAGAACCAGCCGCACGAGGAACCGGACAGAAGAAGUGGAAAUGUAUCUUACACGUAUAAAGAGGAUUAUCCCACACACCGCUGUGAAGGCGUGCAGAGGCUGAAAUGGAUCAAGCUCUUAUUGUUCAGCUUCUCAGCCAUUCACCUCCUGUCCAAAGCCUCACAUUCCACCGGGUUUUGUGCAGCGUGAAGCAUGUGCAAAGCUAAAGAACAUUCUUGGACGGCUCCACACUUUGGCCACAGAGAACAUACAGUUCCUCAUGUGUCGGCCUUCAGGAGCGCGGUGGAUUACAGCCAUUCAUGCCGGAGUCAAUUAAAGCCAGUUAAAGUCACCACAGGCUUUGUUUACACAUUAUGGGAACUCUGUGAAGUGGGAGGAGAGAGAAAAAAGCAUCUAAUGAAUACCUUCAAAGGAUUAUUUAAGGCUUGUGUGUCUGGGUAGGUUUAAAGCUUGUCCUCAAUCUCAGCUUGAUGGAGUUUUAUGUUGGAAAUGUGGUAAAAUUGAGGUCAAUAAAAGGAUAAAGCACU
Molecule: long non-coding RNA, 827 nt
Organism: Pygocentrus nattereri (red-bellied piranha)
Lineage: Eukaryota; Metazoa; Chordata; Actinopteri; Characiformes; Serrasalmidae
Exons: 2
Source: RefSeq, a predicted model, not a curated record